CGUUAUGGCGGCUGUGCGCGGGAGACUUUCGAGUCUGCCGGGUAUUCCUUCUACCUUGGUUUCCAGCCCGCGCACAGCUGCCACCCUC
This 88-nucleotide non-coding RNA is filed under the name Pseudomonas sp. NFACC39-1. The record is from RNAcentral. Lineage: Bacteria; Pseudomonadati; Pseudomonadota; Gammaproteobacteria; Pseudomonadales; Pseudomonadaceae.